GAUGAACGCUGGCGGCGUGCCUAAUACAUGCAAGUCGAGCGAACAGACGAGGAGCUUGCUCCUCUGACGUUAGCGGCGGACGGGUGAGUAACACGUGGAUAACCUACCUAUAAGACUGGGAUAACUUCGGGAAACCGGAGCUAAUACCGGAUAAUAUAUUGAACCGCAUGGUUCAAUAGUGAAAGACGGUUUUGCUGUCACUUAUAGAUGGAUCCGCGCCGCAUUAGCUAGUUGGUAAGGUAACGGCUUACCAAGGCAACGAUGCGUAGCCGACCUGAGAGGGUGAUCGGCCACACUGGAACUGAGACACGGUCCAGACUCCUACGGGAGGCAGCAGUAGGGAAUCUUCCGCAAUGGGUGAAAGCCUGACGGAGCAACGCCGCGUGAGUGAUGAAGGUCUUCGGAUCGUAAAACUCUGUUAUUAGGGAGGAACAAAUGUGUAAGUAACUAUGCACGUCUUGACGGUACCUAAUCAGAAAGCCACGGCUAACUACGUG
This 497-nucleotide ribosomal RNA is filed under the name uncultured bacterium. Its description in RNAcentral is "partial 16S ribosomal RNA". It matches the Rfam family "Bacterial small subunit ribosomal RNA", at positions 28 to 507 of the family's 1533-position model. The record is from RNAcentral.